RNAcentral lists this ribosomal RNA (466 nucleotides) under uncultured bacterium. RNAcentral's name for it is "bacterial SSU rRNA". It matches the Rfam family "Bacterial small subunit ribosomal RNA", at positions 329 to 792 of the family's 1533-position model. The record is from RNAcentral.
GGCCAGACUCCUACGGGAGGCAGCAGUGAGGAAUAUUGGUCAAUGGGCGCGAGCCUGAACCAGCCAAGUCGCGUGAGGGAUGACGGCCCUACGGGUUGUAAACCUCUUUUGUCGGGGAGCAAAUUCCGCCACGUGUGGCGGAGUCGAGAGUACCCGAAGAAAAAGCAUCGGCUAACUCCGUGCCAGCAGCCGCGGUAAUACGGAGGAUGCGAGCGUUAUCCGGAUUUAUUGGGUUUAAAGGGUGCGCAGGGGGCCUGUUAAGUCAGCGGUAAAAUCGUGGGGCUCAACCCCAUCCAGCCGUUGAAACUGGGGAUCUAGAGUGUGCGAGAGGUAUGCGGAAUGCGUGGUGUAGCGGUGAAAUGCAUAGAUAUCACGCAGAACUCCGAUUGCGAAGGCAGCAUACCGGCGCCCGACUGACGCUGAGGCACGAAAGCGUGGGUAUCGAACAGGAUUAGAUACCCGUGUA